This is a long non-coding RNA of Aedes aegypti (yellow fever mosquito), 547 nucleotides long. RefSeq lists it as uncharacterized. NCBI's taxonomy places the organism in Eukaryota, Metazoa, Arthropoda, Insecta, Diptera, Culicidae. The transcript is spliced from 2 exons. The record is from RefSeq and is a predicted model, not a curated record.
AUUUUAGCAUUGGGCGCACAUGUCCUCGUGACUAUGAUUUUAAUCGAGAUUUGUUCUAAGUGUUACGUCUGUUUGUCUGUGUUCCUACCCUAUAAAUCUACGUAGUAAGUGUAGACCAAUCUAACUAUACUUUUUUCUUAUUUCAUUCGAUUGAAAAUUGUUUAUUAUUUGUUCAUUUUAGUUUGUACACAUUCUCACACACAUAUUCAGUCUACCACCGAAUGGAGAACAAAGUGCGCUGUACACUAACAUAGGUGGAAUAUACAGACAACCACACAGAAAAGCCGAGAAAAGCUAGAAACGAGGUAAUACACAUGAUGAAGCAUCGUGGAUAACAGAAGUAAUAUGUACUAUUGAAUUUAGUUCUCCCUUCUAAAGCACACUUAUUGAAAAUUGUAAGAAAUUAUAUAAAACAAAUAAGAAACAAAAAAGGAAAACCAACAAUAACACACUUGUAUCAAAACACCCACACAUAAACGUUUAGGCGAAAAUAAAAGAAAUGAAAGUUAUAGGGUCAAACAAUAAAGGAGAUGCAUUUUUUUAUAAA